CACUCACACUCACACACACACACACACACUCACACACACACACACUCACACACUCACACACACCGACGUACCUCAGUCAGCUGUAACAGCCUCAGCGGGAAACAUGUUACUCCUAAUCCUUUUAGUUGGAGGGGUUAUUUUCACAGACGGGACAAUCGGUACCUGAACUAGGAUUGCUGGGUGGAGUGGAUGUAAAGGACACGGUCUGGAGAAUUAUGAGGCAGCCUAUCAAAAAUGACUUGGCCAAAGCGGUGAACUGGAGAGGUGUAAAUGGGAAAACACUGUUCCAGACUUUGGAGCUAAAAAACAUUGUGAUUGAGGCUGUAAGAAGAAAUCCAGUGUGUGCACAGACAUCCGAGUGUCACAACACACAUGGAGACAGAGAGCAGAUCCAACAUGGCUUUUAAUAACCAAGGCAGGGGGAAAAAAGGCAAUACGACGAACGGAAAUAUCCAACUUGAAAUACUAGAGCAGUAACUCGGUACUUUCUCGUGAACAGUCUCAAUACUAGCCGCUGUGCUCUGCAGGUGAGGGCUUUAAGUAGGCGCCGUGUGAUUGGGUGCAGGUGGCGCGAUUAAAAGUCCGGUGAUUGAGAGCGCGGGGGUGCGGCUGAGGUGUAUGUGCCUGUGACAGUAUCCCCCCCCCCCCCACGGGCAUCUCCAGACGUCCGAGAGCGACGACGGAGGUGGCCGCGGCCUCUGGGAGCAGGUCGGUCUGGGUGGUGCUGAUGGAAGUUGGCGAGCAGUGCCGGAUCGAGGAUGUCAUCCCGGUCCACCCAUGAUCUUUCCUCGGGACCAUACCCCUCCCAGUCGACCAGAUAUUGUACACGGCCGCUGCGUCGUCUGGAGUUCAUUAUCUCUCGGACCUGGUAGAUCGUGUUGUCUGUGUCGAUCUGGGGCAGCGACGAGAUCUCGGACUCUGUAGGAGGAGGGAGAACAGGGUUAGUGUAUGGUUUCAGAAGAGACACAUGGAAGGUGGGUGAGAUUCGGUAGUGCGCAGGUAGGAUGAGUUCGUAGUACACAUCAUUUAUGCGCCUACGGAUGUUCAAGGGACCGAUAUAGCGGGGGCUGAGCAUUCUACAGGGCAGUUUGAGGCGGAUGUCCCGGGUGGAAAGCCAUACUCGGUCACCUGGAUGGUAGCACGGUGCUUCUUUGUGCCACGCAAUAGCGUGGCGCAGGUGGACAUGCGCCGAUCCCCAAACCCUCUCACUCUCUCGGAACCAGUGAUCGACCGAAGGUAUUUCAGCAGGUUCGCCAGACCACGGGAACAGAGGCGGCUGGUAGCCGAGUAUGCACUGAAAAGGGGUGAGUCCGGUGGUUUCUUGGCGGAGUGAGUUUUGUGCAUACUUGGCCCAGGGCAGGUAUUGGCUCCAAUCAUGCUGGCGUUCAUGGCAGUAUGCUCGGAGGUAGUGCCCAAUUUCCUGGAUUUUCCGUUCCGUUUGGCCGUUAGAUUGUGGGUGGUAACCAGAGGAUAAGCUUACGGAUGUACCCAGUUGUCCUAAGAAACCCCUCCAUAUCCUGGAGAUAAACUGGGGCCCUCUAUCUGACACAAUAUCUUCGGGAAUGCCGAAGUGUCUGAACACUUGGUGGAAGAGGGCUUUAGCUGUUUCCAGGGCAGUGGGUAGGCCCUUGAGGGGUAUGAGUUUACAAGCUUUAGAAAAUCGGUCUACCACGACGAGGAUGGUGGUGAAGCCUUCCGACGCGGGCAGGUUGGUGAUGAAGUCCACUCCCAGGUGGGACCAUGGUCGGUGGGGAAUAGGGAGUGGCAUGAGUUUCCCUUCCGGUAAGUGGCGGGGUGUGGAAAUCACGGCACAAACGGAACAACCUUUCACAAACUGGUUUACAUCCUUACUCAUAUUUGGCCACCAAUACCUGUUCUGGAGGAGUGAGAGGGUGCGUUGUCUGCCCGGAUGGCCGGAGUCUAGAGACGAGUGUACAGAGUCCAGGAGGUUAAGACGGAAGGGCGCUGGAAUGUAGGUUUUGCCUACUGGGCUCCCCGGCGGAGCGGGUUCAUUCGCGGAGGCGGCACGGAUUUCCUCGUCGACGGCCCAGAGGAUGGGGCAGACGAACAGAUCUGGAGGUAGUACCGGUUCACAUGCAUUGGAUUGAGGGUCUGGUGAAUACAUUCUGGAUAGGGCGUUGGCUUUUGUGUUCUUAAAACCGGGACGAUAGGAGACUGUGAAUCGGAACCUCGUGAAGAACAGCGCCCAGCGCGCUUGUCGUGGGUUUAAGCGUUUGGCUUCUUUGAGGUAUUGUAGAUUUUUGUGAUCAGUGAUGACUUCAAAGGGAUGGACAGCCCCCUCCAGCCAGUGCUGCCAUUCCUCCAGUGCCAACUUGAUUGCUAACAGCUCACGGUUUCCAAUGUCAUAGUUACGCUCCGCCGGGGUUAGUUUCCUUGAAUAGAAGACGCAUGGGUGGAGUGCCAGAGGCUCACCUCCUCGUUGUGACAGCACCGCUCCUACUCCUAGCGCAGAGGCAUCUAUCUCGACUACAAAGGGCUGGCUAGGAUCAGGAUGCAGUAAUGUAGGAGCGGAACAAAAGGCGUCUUUUAGCUGUUGGAAGGCUUCGACCGCUAAUUUUGACCAGGUGAGUGUCUUAGGCUGUCCACCUAAUAAUGAAGUGAGGGGAGCAGUGAUUUGGCUGUAGUUGUGGAUGAAGCGGCGGUAGAAAUUCGCAAACCCCAGAAACCGUUGCAGCUCCUUGACUGUCUCUGGCUGCGGCCAGUUCAUCACUGCGUCUAUUUUAGCCUGGUCCAUCUUAAUACCCGCAGUGGAGAUGAUGUAACCCAGAAACUGCACGACCGUUUGGUGGAACUCGCACUUUUCAAGUUUGAGGAAAAGGUGGUGACGGCGCAGGCGGUCGAGUACCUGACGGACAUGGUGGAUGUGCUUCGAAUGGUUGGAAGAGUAGAUUAAGAUGUCAUCAAUGUAUACGAUGACGAACCGGUGGAGCAUAUCACGGAAGAUUUCGUUCAUGAAGUUUUGGAAUACCGCUGGGACAUUUGUGAGCCCAUAUCACAUGACCCGGAACUCGUAGUGCCCAGAAGUUGUGAUGAACGCCGUCUUCCACUCAUCUCCCUGACGAAUGAGGAUGAGGUUAUAUGUGCUUCUCAGGUCCAGCUUGGUGAAGAUGCGAGCUCCACGUAACUCCUCGAGAGCAGCUGGUACUAGCGGCAAGGGGUAGGCGAAUUUCACCGUUUGGGUAUUAAGAUUCUGGUAAUCGAUACACGGUCGAAGCCCGCCAUCCUUUUUUGCCACAAAGAAGAAGCUGGAUGCCGCCGGGGAGGUAGAAGGGCGUAUGAACCCCUGGCGGAGUGCCUCUUUGAUAUAUUCUUCCAUGGCCUUGUGCUCUGGGACAGACAGGGGAUAGAUACGCCCUUUGGGCAUCUUAGCGUUGGGCAGAAGGUCCACAGCACAAUCUCAGGAUUGAUGUGGUGGGAGCUUUGUAGCGGCGACUUUGCUAAACACCUCCGUGUAAUCCUGAUACUCUCCUGGGAGGUCCACCUCACGGCCAGUAGGGGGCUCUUGAUGUUCGUCGACCCCAGGAGAACAGAUCUAGGCGGAGGGCGCGGGAGUGCGCGUAAGCACGAGCUGAGGCAAUGAUCGCUCCACUGUUCAAUGCACCCUGUGCUCCACCGAAUCGUGGGUUGAUGUUGCGCCAGCCAUGGGUGUCCUAGAACAACGUCCACCCUGGCCUCCUCCAACACCAACAGCGAGAGCACCUCCUCAUGCAUAUAGCCGAUGUGCAGCGUCAAUUCCGGCAUCCGCCACUGCACCAGUCCUCGACCCAGCGGUUUUCCUUGGAUAGUUGUGAUGCAAUAGCGCCUUGGGUUCCUUUGUCGUGGGAUAUAGCAUGCAGAGAGGAUGCGAGUGGAGAUAAAAUUCCCUGAUGCGCCCGAGUCAAAGAGCACGCUGACAGAAUAAGAGUGAGAGUCAAACAUUAAUGUGGCAUCAUGAUACCAAGGAUUAGAGAGUACUGAGCUGAGGUGGAUAGUACUCACCGCUGGGUGGACCAGACGGACGGGACAGGUAGAAAUAGAAUGACCAGAUUCUCCGCAGUAGAGGUAGAGCCCAUGCUGAAGCCGGCGCUGCCAUUCGUCCAUGGAUAGAUGGUACACGUCCGUUUGCAUAGGCUCUGGUGCGGAGAACUCCUCACUGGGUGAAGCCUCGGAACGGUGGUUCCCUCCACCCGGAACUGCGACGAGAUGUUGGGCCACUGUCUGAGCCUUCAACAGGAAGGCCUCCAGGCUGCUGGAGUCUUCAUAUAUGGCCAUCUGCCGUCGGAUCUCGGGCUGUAACCCCUGCCGGUACGCCGCGAGAAGAGCCGUCUCAUUCCAUCCGCUAGAUGCCGCCAGCAUGCGGAAGCGCAGCGUAUACUCGCGGACGGUGUUUCUACCCUGCCGUAGAGUGAACAGCUCGUCAUGUGUCGAGAGGGUGGAAGCGCCUGCACCGAAAACCGCCUUGAAGUGGGCCAGAAAGUUCGUUAUGGACGCGAACACUGGGCUCUCCGAUGUCCACAAGGCCUCUGCCAAGCGUCGGGCCUCACCAGGACAACAGCAACAGGAUAAAGGCUAUUUUAGCGUGGUCAUCGGGGAACAACUGAGGGGCCAGUUCAAAAUAGAGCUGGCAUUGCAUAAUGAAACCGACACAUUCGGCCGCGCCGCCCGAGAAUAAUGCUGGUUUGGCUACCGGACAGGUUGGUGGUGUCGCCACGGACAGUACCGAUUGCUGUAGUGAGGCCGCCAGAGCAAUGAUAGGGUCCGGUGGGGAAGGCGGUUCAGCUGUCGGCUGUUGCGGAACCGGGGCGGCAGAUGGGUCGGUUUGCGGCUGAGCUGCUGUAGGGGGUGUGCCGACAUGCUGACCUUCCAUCUUCCUGGUAAGAUCUCGUAGUUCGCUGUUUGUAGGGCUAGUAUUCUGUCACAAAACACAUGGAGACAGAGAGCAGAUCCAACACGGCUUUUAAUAACCAAGGCAGGGGGAAAAAGGCAAUACGAGGAACGGAAAUAUCCAACUCGAAAUACUAGAGCAGUAACUCGGUACUUUCUCGUGAACAGUCUCAAUACUAGCUGCUGUGCUCUGCAGGUGAGGGCUUUAAGUAGGCGCCGUGUGAUUGGGUGCAGGUGGCGCGAUUAAAAGUCCGGUGAUUGGGAGCGCGGGGGUGUGGCUGAGGUGUAUGUGCCUGUGACACUGAGCUUGUGGUCAAAAGAUUUAUUAAAAGUUUGUUUCAUCUGGCUGGUGACCGUGAGGGUGGCAGAAAAAGAACACCUUUAACAUUUUAAUUUAUUGCUUGGUUUCUGUAGUCUUUGGUAGUUUUGUUUUUUUAAAUAUUUGUUGUUAUUUUACUGGUUUCUUAGCUUUUUUCCACUGUUUAUUUUUCAUGUUGAGACCCCCCCCCUUUCUGCAUCAAUAAAACAUUCUGCUUUGCAUUUGUAUAGUUUCAUUCUUUUAUAAUACCUUGCAUCAUAAAUAUUAUACGGGUAAUUUCUGGUUCAGUUCUGGGCAUUCUGGCAAAAUAUUGGUCCAGUUCUGGCUGUUUUGUGGACCUUCUGGAUAAUUUGUUAGUUUUGGGUUAAAGUUGGUGGCAUUUUGGCUCUUGUCUGGCUGACACGUGUGGAUUCUGGCACUGUUGUAGGUCAGUUAUGGCUGAUUUCUGGUGACACUGUGGAGUUUUGGCUGAGUUUUGGUCUGUUUCUGGUAUUGGUCUGGUUGACUUUUGGCAAACAGCUUUUGGGCCAGCUUUGGGCCGUAAUUCCAUAUGGUAUCUGGGUCAAACUUAAAGCCAAAACUCAGCCAGACUCAGCCCAGAGUCAAUUUGCUAUCUGGGUUUGCAUUCAGGUGAUUGGACUUUUUUUCAGUUACUUAUUUAAGGUAAUGAAAUACAAUUACUCAAAUAUUUUCCUUAUUUUAUUAAGCAACUAUUAAAAAAAAUACUAGCAGGUUCCCCAAGAAAUGUCCAUGACAAUAUGUGCGUGUGUGUGU
Hemibagrus wyckioides is the source of this 5977-nucleotide long non-coding RNA. RefSeq lists it as uncharacterized. NCBI's taxonomy places the organism in Eukaryota, Metazoa, Chordata, Actinopteri, Siluriformes, Bagridae. The record is from RefSeq and is a predicted model, not a curated record. The transcript is spliced from 3 exons.